AAACGACAAAACAUCAUGCCGUCUGCAAAAUCCUACAUUCAAGCUUGCAUGCUUUUUUCUUCCCCGCGAGGGAGACGAUGGAGGGGAAAGGUAAGGAGUUAGCGGUUGGCUCUGGUCUGAGCAAGUCCCUUGAUGAAUCACGUGUGGACAGUCACAGCUAUUACCUGGCGCGUCGAACCACCAUGGAGAUGCUCCGAGACAGAGGAUACGAUAUCUCAAAUGAAGACAUUAACCUCACUUUACAGGAGUUUCGAGCGCUCUACGGCGACCGGCCCAACGUAGAUAGACUCCGUAUCUCAGCACAACAUUGUUCUGAUUCUUCAAAAAAGGUAAACUCCAAUGCCAUGCAGAAUGUAAUAUCGAUUUUAGAACAUUGUUCUGGAACCAAUAUCAAUCUGCAUGUUGAUAUUUUUCUGCCAAGGUGACAAAAUAUUCGAAGUAGUAUUCCAUGAAUAAGGAAUAUUUACUAUUUUCUAAUAACUUUAUGGAAGUAAAUUCUAGGCUAUCUCGUAAUCUGUGAAAUGUUAUGUAUUCGUACUAAUAAAGUGAUUAUAGAUCUCUGACAAAAAGUAUUGUUUCUUUGAAGAAAGCCUUAUAUAUGUAUGGACAUCUCAUGAAACAUUUAGCUUUAGCUUCCAAAUUUUAAAGAGCUAAUAUACAUAGUUCGUGGCUCUGCUAUGCACCAAGCAAUUUUCUGUUUUGAAUAUCAGAUAGCUGUUGUGUUUUGCGGAAGUGGUAUAGUUAAAGUCAGUGCGAUACGCGACAUCGCAGCCGAUGUACUUGGUCGAGAAAAUUUAACCGGACUGAUAUUGGUUCUCCAAAGUGAUAUAACAAAUCAAGCUCUAAAAGCCGUUGAACUUUUCUCUUUUAAAGUCGAGUUAUUCCAGGUAUGUUUAUCUUGAUACUUUGUUUAAUUAAUUAUGAUCGGUUGCUUUGACUUAAUUCUUGGUAGAUUUGUAACUUUGUGUUUUUUUUCUGUUGUUAGUUAACCGAACUGUUGGUUAACAUAACCAAACAUGUCUUGAGGCCAAAACAUCAUGUUCUGAAUGAGCAAGAGAAGGAAUCACUCUUCAAGAAGUUCAGUAUUCAGGAGCAACAAGUAAGAAAGUCUUUUUUUUGGUACUUGGAUCAUUGCUAGCUAGGAACUCUGAGCUUUCUUUGAGUCAAAACAUUUUAAAAAUGUUAUUUUUCGCUUUUGUUAGCUUCCAAAGUUAUUGAAGAAAGACCCGACAGCGAAAUACUACGGACUAGAGAAAGGGCAAGUCGUGGAGGUCACAUACAAGGGCGAGGGCAGUGAAUCUGAUCAUGUUUCAUACCGAUGCGCUUGGUAAAUCUCGUUUUGUUUUUAUUCUUAGCUCUCUUUGUAUGUGUCAAUAUAUGUAUCACAUGUCUUGAUGUCAAAAGCUGUAAACUCUUGUGUGUUUCUUGUGGUUCUCAACCAAACAAUAUCUGCUGAUAUAAAGCCCUUUGUCAAAAAAAAAAAAAGGCGCGUCGAACCACCAUGGAGAUGCUCCGAGACAGAGGAUACGAUAUCUCAAAUGAAGACAUUAACCUCACUUUACAGGAGUUUCGAGCGCUCUACGGCGACCGGCCCAACGUAGAUAGACUCCGUAUCUCAGCACAACAUUGUUCUGAUUCUUCAAAAAAGGUAAACUCCAAUGCCAUGCAGAAUGUAAUAUCGAUUUUAGAACAUUGUUCUGGAACCAAUAUCAAUCUGCAUGUUGAUAUUUUUCUGCCAAGGUGACAAAAUAUUCGAAGUAGUAUUCCAUGAAUAAGGAAUAUUUACUAUUUUCUAAUAACUUUAUGGAAGUAAAUUCUAGGCUAUCUCGUAAUCUGUGAAAUGUUAUGUAUUCGUACUAAUAAAGUGAUUAUAGAUCUCUGACA
RNAcentral lists this long non-coding RNA (1884 nucleotides) under Brassica napus (rape). Its description in RNAcentral is "long non-coding RNA (BNAP_LNC016642)". The record is from RNAcentral. Lineage: Eukaryota; Viridiplantae; Streptophyta; Magnoliopsida; Brassicales; Brassicaceae.